GAGUGGCGGACGGGUGAGGAAUGCAUCGGAAUCUGCCUGUUUGUGGGGGAUAACGCGUGGAAACGUGCGCUAAUACCGCAUACGUCCUUUUGUCGGGAGAUGAUUGGAGAAAGUGGGGGACCUUCGGGCCUCACGCGAACAGAUGAGCCGAUGUCGGAUUAGCUGGUUGGUGGGGUAAAGGCCUACCAAGGCGACGAUCCGUAGCUGGUCUGAGAGGAUGAUCAGCCACACUGGAACUGAGACACGGUCCAGACUCCUACGGGAGGCAGCAGUGGGGAAUAUUGGACAAUGGGGGCAACCCUGAUCCAGCCAUGCCGCGUGUGUG
RNAcentral lists this ribosomal RNA (325 nucleotides) under uncultured Gammaproteobacteria bacterium. Its description in RNAcentral is "bacterial SSU rRNA". It matches the Rfam family "Bacterial small subunit ribosomal RNA", at positions 93 to 407 of the family's 1533-position model. The record is from RNAcentral. Lineage: Bacteria; Pseudomonadati; Pseudomonadota; Gammaproteobacteria.